GCGUGGGUGAAGAAGGCCUUCGGGUCGUAAAGCUCUGUCAGGUGGGAAGAAAAGAGCCGGAGUAAUGCCCGGCCUUGACCGCCACCAAAGGAAGCACCGGCUAACUCCGUGCCAGCAGCCGCGGUAAUACGGAGGGUGCAAGCGUUGUCCGGAAUCACUGGGCGUAAAGGGCGCGUAGGCGGCUUGGCAAGUCUGGUGUGAAAGCCCUCGGCUCAACCGAGGAAGUGCACUGGAAACUGCUGAGCUUGAGUGCGGGAGAGGGAAGCGGAAUUCCCAGUGUAGCGGUGAAAUGCGU
RNAcentral lists this ribosomal RNA (295 nucleotides) under uncultured bacterium. RNAcentral describes it as "partial 16S ribosomal RNA". It matches the Rfam family "Bacterial small subunit ribosomal RNA", at positions 399 to 691 of the family's 1533-position model. The record is from RNAcentral.